UAGAAACUAAUAAAGAAAUAUUUAGAAAUAGAUCUGCGAUUGAUCUCAAAGACAAAUGGAGAAAUUUGGUCAAAAGGUGAUGUUUUGUAUCAGAAGUAAAUACAGAAGUACAUAGUGAUGGCUUAGGUUUAGCUUUUGUGGUAAAAUAGCAAUGGGAUGGAAUGCUGGUGAUGAUUGAAAUCGCAGUGGUUUGGUGUAUGAAAUUCCAUAUAUAUCUUCCCCCUUUUUUUGUUUGUUGGUGCAUGUAUCUUCCCACUUAAGAAUAGUUUGUUGAGGUUGAUGACAUUGAGAAAAUGGCCCCUAAUCUGGAUUUGUUA
Hibiscus syriacus is the source of this 317-nucleotide long non-coding RNA. RefSeq lists it as uncharacterized. The record is from RefSeq and is a predicted model, not a curated record. NCBI's taxonomy places the organism in Eukaryota, Viridiplantae, Streptophyta, Magnoliopsida, Malvales, Malvaceae. The transcript is spliced from 2 exons.